UUCUCUUAUUUUGGUUUCUCAAGUUUUAUUAAGUGUUUUCUUAAAACCCCACAACAUAUACUUUAUUUCUCGUUAAAUCUCAUGAUGAAGGUUUAAAGGAGAGGAGUCAUGUGUAGAAAUUCUCAAAGAGAACACACAAGAUGAGGAAAAGAGGUCUAUAAGAAGAGGAAUAAAGUCAUGAAGGACUAAAAGAAAUUAAAUCUUAUAGAGGAAGAAGCAAAUUAUUAAGCAUGCAAGAAAAUUCUCUGUCAAAGCGUCCUAAAGAUUGACUCGUACGACGGCCUUCCACUGGGAUUCAGCUUCCACGUUCUUUAUUCCAUUUGUUGGAUAUUGAGUAAGCUUUCCAGUGAAAGUGAUAUCACUCACAUCCGAGCAGACGAUCAAAAGUUAUGCCCGAUUCAGUGGGUAUAUAUCAAUCUGACGCGACUGAGAAGAAGCUAUCCACCAUUGAGGUCGGUUAAGGUGUCGAUUGGCCAUUGCCUGGCCAUGAAAAAAGCUUCAAAAGAAGCCAAAAUUGGAGCACUUGAAACCUAAGAAGCGGUCAUGAAAGAAGCCUUAGAAGACUAGUCUUGAUGUUGUUCCAAUAAGGGAUAAUGAAGGAGGAUUAGCUUUAAGAGCUAAUGGCUGCUAGGCUUGGUGUUGUCAAGAAGUUUCAAAGAAAGUUACAAAGAAGGAGAAGUCAAAGAAAGCUUCUGGAGCUAAAGAAGGGUGUAAACAACCCUCAUGGAGCUCUAGAAGAUCUUUAAAGAAGCGAAUAAUCAAGGAAGCUUAAAAGAAGGUCUCAUUCAAGAUUUGUAAGUGUCCAAGCAAACUUGAAGAGAAGAAAUGUUCUAUAUCUCUCUCAAGCUUCAAAGGAAGCUACAAAGAUGAUAGAAAGAAGCAAGACAAGCGUGUGGAGUUUAGAGCCGAUUAUAAACAAGCAAGAAGCAAGACCACUUGAUAGUUUCAACCACAGUACUAAACUCCGGCGGUAUAAACGAUGCCCGAGGGAAGAGUAUAUAUGGCUCUCUCAAGCGAGGUGAACCUAUUUAAGCUGACCGAGAGAGAUAAAGCUAGAUGGAAGGACUAGUGGAGAUGCAAGGCUGGUGAUACAAGACUCGGUGGUGAGCUUGUAUUAGGAUAGAGAUGAUGGCUUCACAAGAUGGCGGUCUCUUCUCUCUUGUGAAGGAAAGAUGGUCGCUGAUGUAGAUCUGACACGAUGGCGGUCACUUCUCUCGUGUGGGAUCGAUUGUAGGGGAAGUGAUGGCGGAUAGAAGUACACCACUGAGAUGCGAUUGGUCUCUGAUACAGUACACGAACUCAGCCUUGUGGAGUCACACACACAAGACAAAGAACAAGCUUUUCUCUUAAGAACACUUAAGGAGAAAAAGGAAGAAUAUUUGUUUCUUUAUUGAUAAUAGGGUAAAAAACUCGUACAACUGCUGCAGGGGGACUUUAAAAGAGUCCUUCAGCUAGCCUUAAGGCCGAAAUAAAUGUAAAAAUGCAACAAAGGAAACAAAUAAAACUAC
RNAcentral lists this long non-coding RNA (1508 nucleotides) under Capsella grandiflora. RNAcentral describes it as "long non-coding RNA (CGRA_LNC000666)". Lineage: Eukaryota; Viridiplantae; Streptophyta; Magnoliopsida; Brassicales; Brassicaceae. The record is from RNAcentral.